UGGGGAAUUUUGCACAAUGGACGAAAGUCUGAUGCAGCAACGCCGCGUGGAGGAUGAAGGUCUUCGGAUUGUAAACUUCUGUUAAUUAAGAAGAAAUAAUAGAGAGUAAUAUGCUCUAUUGAUGACGUUAUUAGUUGAGAAAGCCCCGGCUAACUUCGUGCCAGCAGCCGCGGUAAUACGAAGGGGGCAAGCGUUAUUCGGAAUGAUUGGGUGUAAAGGGCGUGUAGGCGGCGCAAUAAGUUUUUUGUUUAAUUCUCCGGCCUAACUGGAGGUGUGCAAGGAAUACUGUUGUGCUAGAGUAUGAUAGAGGAAAGUGGAACUCUCGGAGUAGCGGUUAAAUGCGUAGAUCUCGAGAAGAACGCCAAUGGUGAAGACAGCUUUCUGGGUCAUUACUGACGCUGAGACGCGAAGGCGUGGGGAGCAAACAGG
Molecule: ribosomal RNA, 429 nt
Filed under: uncultured bacterium
Lineage: Bacteria
Description: bacterial SSU rRNA
Rfam family: Bacterial small subunit ribosomal RNA
Source: RNAcentral